CAAUACCGCGAGGUGGAGCAAACCCCUAAAAGCCAUCCCAGUUCGGAUCGCAGGCUGCAACCCGCCUGCGUGAAGUUGGAAUCGCUAGUAAUCGCGGAUCAGCAUGCCGCGGUGAAUACGUUCCCGGGCCUUGUACACACCGCCCGUCACACCAUGAGAGUCGGGAACACCCGAAGUCCGUAGCCUAACCGCAAGGGGGGCGCGGCCGAAGGUGGGUUCGAUAAUUGGGGUGAAGUCGUAACAAGGUACC
This 250-nucleotide ribosomal RNA is filed under the name uncultured bacterium. Its description in RNAcentral is "partial 16S ribosomal RNA". It matches the Rfam family "Bacterial small subunit ribosomal RNA", at positions 1250 to 1500 of the family's 1533-position model. The record is from RNAcentral.